CGGCGAGUGAGCGGUAACAGCUCAAAUUUGAAAUCUGGCUCUUUUAGGGUCCGAGUUGUAAUUUGUAGAACAUGCUUCGGGUGUGGCCCCGGUCUAAGUUCCUUGGAACAGGACGUCAUAGAGGGUGAGAAUCCCGUAUGUGACUGGGUGCUUUCGCCUAUGUGAAGCUCUUUCGACGAGUCGAGUUGUUUGGGAAUGCAGCUCAAAAUGGGUGGUAAAUUUCAUCUAAAGCUAAAUAUUGGCCAGAGACCGAUAGCGCACAAGUAGAGUGAUCGAAAGAUGAAAAGCACUUUGGAAAGAGAGUUAAACAGUACGUGAAAUUGUUGAAAGGGAAGCGCUUGCAACCAGACUUGCACGUUGUCGAUCAUCCGGGGUUUUCCCCGGUGCACUCGAUCUCGUUCAGGCCAGCAUCGGUUUUGGUGGUGGGAUAAAGGCCUUGGGAAUGUAGCUUCUUUCGGGGAGUGUUAUAGCCCUCGGUGCAAUGCCGCCUACCGGGACCGAGGACCGCGCUUCGGCUAGGAUGCUGGCGUAAUGGUUGUAAGCGACCCGUCUUGAAACACGGACCAAGGAGUCUAACAUCUAUGCGAGUGUUUGGGUGUCAAACCCAUACGCGUAAUGAAAGUGAACGGAGGUGAGAACCCUUAAGGGUGCAUCAUCGACCGAUCCUGAUGUCUUCGGAUGGAUUUGAGUAAGAGCAUAGCUGUUGGGACCCGAAAGAUGGUGAACUAUGCGUGAAUAGGGUGAAGCCAGAGGAAACUCUGGUGGAGGCUCGCAGCGGUUCUGACGUGCAAAUCGAUCGUCAAAUUUGCGUAUAGGGGCGAAAGACUAAUCGAACCAUCUAGUAGCUGGUUCCUGCCGAAG
RNAcentral lists this ribosomal RNA (861 nucleotides) under uncultured fungus. Its description in RNAcentral is "LSU rRNA". It matches the Rfam family "Eukaryotic large subunit ribosomal RNA", at positions 87 to 966 of the family's 3401-position model. The record is from RNAcentral. Lineage: Eukaryota; Fungi.